ACACGGAUCUCAUCACUCCUUCGCCAAAAGAAGCUCUCAUCCUGGCCACCGCCGUACUCUUCCAGGCCGCCAUACGGAUCUCACUACUCCUUCGCCAGAAGGAGAAGACUCAUCCCGGGAACCACCGUACUCAUCAGGCCGCCGCGUAUAAGGCUCCUUUGAGCGGUGCAAUCUGCCAGUAGCCAUGUCCGACUCGCCCAGCUUCCUCACUCUCCUCUCUGACGCCGGCGCUGCCUUCUUCCCCCAUGUCGUGCUGGUUCCACAUCUGAAGCUUGGUUUUUUGCAUGGCGGCCCAAUGAGGCGUCCAUCCCCGAGGGCCCCUGGCCAUAGCAGCCGACUCCGCUCCUCCCUCCCCGCAUGAACCUAGCACCUCGCUGAGUGAGGAGUUCGUGUUGUUCACCUUCUACAAGCUGGUGCCCGUCGACGACCCGCGCUCACACCUCCACUUCAUGCAGGUUAGGAACAUUACUUGGAUGCUUUUCAGGCUUCUCCAGCAUUAACCGGGCAUGCUCUCCAGUACAAACAAUGACUUAUUCAGUAGGGAAAUUACUGGAGUAGCUGGCAUCAGUUGAUCAGGGAAAUUGGCUCAGGGAUCUUUAGAUCAAUUACAUCAGAGGUCAUGUUCAGCUACAGAAACUGUGUUUGGCACACAUCGGAGGUCAUGUACUGCAUAUGAUCAAAUUAGAGAACAAGCAAGGAGUAUCAUCCAAUUUCAGUAAUUGAAAGUGAAAUGGGAUGAUCUGCAACACCACUAUUUGGAUGAAUUUGUUCAACGAUGACACCAAUUUCAGCAGGUAUUGUACCUUUCAACCACCACCACCAAGCAGCAGAGGCGGGGGCGCUUGAGUAAAUCAAAAUCGAUGAUCGGGGGCUCUACACCACCCCAGCAGCACCUGCUGCAACAGAGGCGAGGAAGACAACAGCAGUAGCAGAGGCCAGAGUGGCCCGAAAAUUUCGCGUCGCUGGUGGCCGGAGCGGAUGAAGUGGCUGGUCCUGCGAGUGGCGGCGGUGGUCGCCUCUGUGGCAGCGGCGCGGGUGGGUGGUGGUGCUGUGUCGGACGGUUGAUGCGCUGGUCGCUUCCGUGGGCGGCGGUGGUGGGGCAGUGCAGGUGGGUUGCGGUGGUCGAGCUGUGCAGGCGGGCCUCUGUGGCGGCUGCGCAGGUGGUCGGCGGCGUUUGACCCGACGGUGGCUCCCGCCAGCGGGGGAGGAAGGAAGGAGACGGGUUGAUUUUUCAAGGGGGUUGAACGUAUGAGAUUUUUUUUCUUUUUUGCAAAAAACACAAUGAACUACUUUUCUGGACGGAGAGAGUAGUUUGUAUGUCUUGAUCCGUACUCGAUCAUGUUUAUAUUUGUUUAUUUAUUUGAACCAGAAACUGAAUCAAUUUUUGGAAGGAAACCCAAUCAGUAUAUCUAUGUAUCAUCCUUCAUUUAUUUUCACUGACAUGACAGGACGGUUGACGCGAGGGCCGUCCAAACCAACUACCUGUACCACAUGUCCAGGUACGAGUCCGUCUCCACCUGUAACUACGCCUUAGCCCGCCGUCUGAGUUGCUUUCCACCGUUCGUACAGACAAACGGCAGCAACAAUGUAUUCCACAUUUUAUAUUCACGUAUUGGAGAGGCAAUGAUGGGUAGCCCAGAUUACGAUGCAACUCUAUGCGGUUGGGAUAUCAUGACCAACUGGACUCGGGAGCCAAAACGCCAAUCCUUGUGAUGUGUCUGCUUGUUUCUCUUUUAGAAUACGGACAAAAUAUUGCAGAAUAGUACCCCGUUAUGCAAUGGUGAAGGAAGUAAUGCAGAUAAGGUUCAAGAUAGUG
This is a long non-coding RNA of Aegilops tauschii subsp. strangulata, 1816 nucleotides long. RefSeq lists it as uncharacterized. The record is from RefSeq and is a predicted model, not a curated record. NCBI's taxonomy places the organism in Eukaryota, Viridiplantae, Streptophyta, Magnoliopsida, Poales, Poaceae.